AUGGGACUAAGAAAAAUACUUGAACUAAUAGGAGUUCGUGCGGAAGAUAAAAGAGAGGAGAAAUUCAGUUAUAGUAGGCCUGAGACACGAUGUGGUUGUGAUGCACGUAUGAAGAUAAGUCUUAAUAAUGGGAUUUAUUAUGUAUACGAAUUUAAGGAAGCCCACAACCAUAGUCUUGCUACUGGAAAUAUGUCGCAAUACUUAAGAUCACACAGGAAAGUAACUGAAGCUCAACUAGCCAAUGCUGAGGUCGCAAAGUCAGUGGGCAUUUCAAAUAAAGCAACUAUUGAUCUAAUGACGAAAGAGGCAUGUGGACCUGAAAACCUUGGCUUUAUAAGCACAGACAUGAAAAAUCGUUUGUACUCAAAGAGAACACUAAAAGCAAAGGUGGGUGACACUGGUGGAGUGUUAGAAUAUAUGGAGAAGAAGGUUUCAGAAGAUGUCAAGUUUUUUUAUCGAAACUACUUAGCAAACGACACACGCUGGCCGAUUUGGAGACGACACUACAUCCAAUGGUUGUGCUACAGUUUAUCCUCUGCAUGGAUGGUUUGA
This 552-nucleotide ribosomal RNA is filed under the name Triticum aestivum (bread wheat). Its description in RNAcentral is "partial small subunit ribosomal RNA". The record is from RNAcentral. Lineage: Eukaryota; Viridiplantae; Streptophyta; Magnoliopsida; Poales; Poaceae.